This 217-nucleotide long non-coding RNA is filed under the name Carica papaya (papaya). RNAcentral describes it as "long non-coding RNA (CPAP_LNC002433)". The record is from RNAcentral. Lineage: Eukaryota; Viridiplantae; Streptophyta; Magnoliopsida; Brassicales; Caricaceae.
AAUCAAACGACCGUCUCAUACCUCGUCUAGUAAUGGGUGCCAAAACACACAACUGCCUUAAUAACCCUUCUAGUAUGAACGUAAUUAAAAUAAUUCUCAACCCCAUUCGACUGAGGGUAGCAUCCACGGUAAGGUUUACCAUAUGCACCAAGUCUGUAGACCCUUUCCUAAUACAUCCGGUAAGUCUUUUUAUUAGACAUCAUUAAUUCAUGCAUAU